UCCUGGCUCAGGACGAACGCUGGCGGCGUGCUUAACACAUGCAAGUCGAACGGUGAAGGGGCCUGCUUUUUGUGGGUCCUGGAUGAGUGGCGAACGGGUGAGUAACACGUGAGUAACCUGCCCCCUUCUUCUGGAUAACCGCAUGAAAGUGUGGCUAAUACGGGAUAUUCUGGGUCUGUCGCAUGGUGGGCCUGGGAAAGGUUUUUUCCGGUGGGGGAUGGGCUCGCGGCCUAUCAGCUUGUUGGUGGGGUGAUGGCCUACCAAGGCGGUGACGGGUAGCCGGCCUGAGAGGGUGGACGGUCACACUGGGACUGAGACACGGCCCAGACUCCUACGGGAGGCAGCAGUGGGGAAUAUUGCACAAUGGGCGCAAGCCUGAUGCAGCGACGCCGCGUGAGGGAUGGAGGCCUUCGGGUUGUGAACCUCUUUCGCCAGUGAAGCAGGCCUGCUCCUUUUUUGUGGGUGGGUUGACGGUAGCUGGAUAAGAAGCGCCGGCUAACUACGUGCCAGCAGCCGCGGUAAUACGUAGGGCGCGAGCGUUGUCCGGAAUUAUUGGGCGUAAAGAGCUCGUAGGCGGCUGGUCGCGUCUGUCGUGAAAUCCUCUGGCUUAACUGGGGGCUUGCGGUGGGUACGGGCCGGCUUGAGUGCGGUAGGGGAGGCUGGAACUCCUGGUGUAGCGGUGGAAUGCGCAGAUAUCAGGAAGAACACCGGUGGCGAAGGCGGGUCUCUGGGCCGUUACUGACGCUGAGGAGCGAAAGCGUGGGGAGCGAACAGGAUUAGAUACCCUGGUAGUCCACGCCGUAAACGUUGGGCACUAGGUGUGGGGGGCCUUUUCCGGGUUUUCCGCGCCGUAGCUAACGCAUUAAGUGCCCCGCCUGGGGAGUACGGCCGCAAGGCUAAAACUCAAAGGAAUUGACGGGGGCCCGCACAAGCGGCGGAGCAUGCGGAUUAAUUCGAUGCAACGCGAAGAACCUUACCAAGGCUUGACAUGUGCCGGUCUGCUCCGGAGACGGGGUUUCCUCCCUUGUGGGGGCUGGUUCACAGGUGGUGCAUGGUUGUCGUCAGCUCGUGUCGUGAGAUGUUGGGUUAAGUCCCGCAACGAGCGCAACCCUUGUCUCGUGUUGCCAGCACGUUGUGGUGGGGACUCGCGGGAGACUGCCGGGGUCAACUCGGAGGAAGGUGGGGAUGACGUCAAAUCAUCAUGCCCCUUAUGUCUUGGGCUUCACGCAUGCUACAAUGGCCGGUACAGAGGGCUGCGAUACCGUGAGGUGGAGCGAAUCCCUUAAAGCCGGUCUCAGUUCGGAUCGGUGUCUGCAACUCGACACCGUGAAGUUGGAGUCGCUAGUAAUCGCAGAUCAGCAACGCUGCGGUGAAUACGUUCUCGGGCCUUGCACACACCGCCCGUC
This 1406-nucleotide ribosomal RNA is filed under the name uncultured bacterium. RNAcentral's name for it is "bacterial SSU rRNA". It matches the Rfam family "Bacterial small subunit ribosomal RNA". The record is from RNAcentral.